This 379-nucleotide ribosomal RNA is filed under the name uncultured cyanobacterium. Its description in RNAcentral is "bacterial SSU rRNA". It matches the Rfam family "Bacterial small subunit ribosomal RNA", at positions 376 to 770 of the family's 1533-position model. The record is from RNAcentral. Lineage: Bacteria; Bacillati; Cyanobacteriota.
CGCCAGCCUGACGGAGCCAGACCGCGUGGGGGAGGAAGGCCCUUGGAUUGUAAACCCCUUUUCUCAGGGAAGAAGUUCUGACGGUACCUGAGGAAUCAGCCUCGGCUAACUCCGUGCCAGCAGCCGCGGUAAUACGGAGGAGGCAAGCGUUAUCCGGAAUCAUUGGGCGUAAAGCGUUCGUAGGCGGCUGUUCAAGUCUGCUGUCAAAGACCGAGGCUCAACCUCGGGUCGGCAGUGGAAACUGGAUAGCUAGAGGUCGGUAGGGGCAAAGGGAAUUCCCGGUGUAGCGGUGAAAUGCGUAGAUAUCGGGAAGAACACCAGAGGCGAAAGCGUUCUGCUGGGCCGCGCCUGACCCUGAGGGACGAAAGCCAGGGGAGCG